Micropterus dolomieu (smallmouth bass) is the source of this 518-nucleotide long non-coding RNA. RefSeq lists it as uncharacterized. Lineage: Eukaryota; Metazoa; Chordata; Actinopteri; Centrarchiformes; Centrarchidae. The record is from RefSeq and is a predicted model, not a curated record. The transcript is spliced from 3 exons.
GCAGUCAACAUCUGGACAAGAACUAAAGGGACAAAAACACAGAUGGAUGAAAACACAGUGAAUAAUGAUGAAGAUGAAGAUGAUGGUGUGGUGAACUAUGAAAACGAUGGAGACCCUUCUGCCUCUGUCAGACUCCACUGAUCAACAACUUCCAUAUCAACAUCAGCUCAUCAGAGAAAAGACUCCACUGCAGUUAAAUAACAGCACAUUUACACGAGUAGUUGAAGCCUUUAGAGAACAAAAAUCUCAUAAGAUAAUUUUUAGAUUUUUAUUACUGAUUGUUUUUGUUUUCAUUUAUCAGUGUGAGAAAUGUUUGUGUGUUUUGUGCUCAGCUGUUUCUGUUUCAGUCUGACUUUGAACAACAAUAUUCAAGUCUUGAUUUCAUCUCAUAUCAGGAAGCCCACUGUGAGUUUUAUAAAAUGUCUUUUCCUGCAUCAGUUGUGAAAAUCUUUAUUUUCUGCAGCCAGUUCAGAACACAGCAGCUGGAUUUCAGCUUCAUUUAACAGGAACGAGCAUUU